This 26-nucleotide ribosomal RNA is filed under the name Rhizoctonia solani. RNAcentral's name for it is "28S ribosomal RNA". Lineage: Eukaryota; Fungi; Basidiomycota; Agaricomycetes; Cantharellales; Ceratobasidiaceae. The record is from RNAcentral.
CUACCCGCUGAACUUAAGCAUAUCAA